RNAcentral lists this long non-coding RNA (798 nucleotides) under Macaca fascicularis (crab-eating macaque). RNAcentral's name for it is "lncRNA (ENSMFAG00000049142.1)". Lineage: Eukaryota; Metazoa; Chordata; Mammalia; Primates; Cercopithecidae. The record is from RNAcentral.
GCACAAGAUGUUCUAAGAUAAUCUUGUGUUUUCUCUGCCCCAGCCCUGAAAUGAGUGAUUUUUUUUGGAAUCAGAGGUGGAGCCACUGAGGAAGUAUAGGCGAGCCCUCCCCAGCAUGUGCUCACUGGUCCUCAACAGAAGAACAGCUGCUGCAUCCACUGAGGUACCAAGAAACUAGCAAAGGGCCUUCUGGCUGCGAUGUCACUGUUGCUGAGCCCCCAUCGCCUCUGUGUUGUGGAGCAGUUAGAGGCACACAGCAGAGUCCGUGAGUGGCUCUGCGUGAAGGACUGUUUUCUAUCUGAGAAGCACAUCUCAGCACAGCUGACUCAUCAGACUCAGCAAUUCCAUUCUGAGUCUCCUCUGGACACCCCCAGGACCACCAGGACAACCCCAUCAGGGCCCUGUCACCAGGCCCAGUCUGGCUCCAUGAUAACCAAGACGCAGGUCCAGAGACAAGCGCCCUGCAUGGUGCCUGCAUGUGACUCCCCUUGGUGGGUAGUGACCAGCUCACCAUGGAAGAAGCCAGGGCAGCAUGCGGCCAUCUGCCCUGCAGCCCCAGAUGACUCCUGGGCCUUAAGAAGUCAUUCUUAAAGGGAAAGCUGGUCACUUUGAGGUCCCUGGAAGGAAGGGUGAAUGUGUCAUCCCAACAGCCCUGGCAGCCAGCAGCAUGCCAUCCAUCUUCUCACCCGAUCUUUGUGACAGAGGCCACCUUCUGGGGCACAAGUCCCAUACCUAAAGGGUCCUAUCUCAGUCGGCCUCAUCCUGAGCCCUGGGAUGGGAGAGGCACCAUGCACCCCC